UACGGAGGGUGCGAGCGUUGUCCGGAAUCACUGGGCGUAAAGGGCGCGUAGGUGGUUUGAUAAGGGUGUGGUGAAAGCCCGGGGCUCAACCCCGGGUCUGCCGUGCCGACUGUCAAACUCGAGGGCUGUAGAGGCAGACGGAAUUCCGGGUGUAGCGGUGGAAUGCGUAGAGAUCCGGAGGAAGACCGGUGGCGAAGGCGGUCUGCUGGGCAGUUUCUGACACUGAGGCGCGACAGCGUGGGGAGCAAACAGG
This 253-nucleotide ribosomal RNA is filed under the name uncultured bacterium. RNAcentral's name for it is "partial 16S ribosomal RNA". It matches the Rfam family "Bacterial small subunit ribosomal RNA", at positions 524 to 776 of the family's 1533-position model. The record is from RNAcentral.